RNAcentral lists this ribosomal RNA (2935 nucleotides) under Serratia marcescens. Its description in RNAcentral is "bacterial LSU rRNA". It matches the Rfam family "Bacterial large subunit ribosomal RNA". The record is from RNAcentral. Lineage: Bacteria; Pseudomonadati; Pseudomonadota; Gammaproteobacteria; Enterobacterales; Yersiniaceae.
GGGUUGUGAGGUUAAGUGACUAAGCGUACACGGUGGAUGCCUAGGCAGUCAGAGGCGAUGAAGGGCGUGCUAAUCUGCGAAAAGCGUCGGUAAGGUGAUAUGAACCGUUACAACCGGCGAUACCCGAAUGGGGAAACCCAGUGUGUUUCGACACACUAUCAUGUCAUGAAUACAUAGUGGCAUGAGGCGAACCGGGGGAACUGAAACAUCUAAGUACCCCGAGGAAAAGAAAUCAACCGAGAUUCCCCCAGUAGCGGCGAGCGAACGGGGAGGAGCCCAGAACCUGAAUCGGCUUGUGUGUUAGUGGAAGCGUCUGGAAAGUCGCGCAGCAAAGGGUGAUAGCCCCGUACACUAAAAUGCACAGGUCGUGAGUUCGAUGAGUAGGGCGGGACACGUGACAUCCUGUCUGAAUAUGGGGGGACCAUCCUCCAAGGCUAAAUACUCCUGACUGACCGAUAGUGAACCAGUACCGUGAGGGAAAGGCGAAAAGAACCCCGGCGAGGGGAGUGAAAUAGAACCUGAAACCGUGUACGUACAAGCAGUGGGAGCACCUUCGUGGUGUGACUGCGUACCUUUUGUAUAAUGGGUCAGCGACUUAUAUUUUGUAGCAAGGUUAACCGUAUAGGGGAGCCGUAGGGAAACCGAGUCUUAACUGGGCGAAUAGUUGCAAGGUAUAGACCCGAAACCCGGUGAUCUAGCCAUGGGCAGGUUGAAGGUUGGGUAACACUAACUGGAGGACCGAACCGACUAAUGUUGAAAAAUUAGCGGAUGACUUGUGGCUGGGGGUGAAAGGCCAAUCAAACCGGGAGAUAGCUGGUUCUCCCCGAAAGCUAUUUAGGUAGCGCCUCGUGAACUCAUCUUCGGGGGUAGAGCACUGUUUCGGCUAGGGGGCCAUCCCGGCUUACCAAACCGAUGCAAACUCCGAAUACCGAAGAAUGUUAUCACGGGAGACACACGGCGGGUGCUAACGUCCGUCGUGAAGAGGGAAACAACCCAGACCGCCAGCUAAGGUCCCAAAGUCAUGGUUAAGUGGGAAACGAUGUGGGAAGGCAUAGACAGCCAGGAUGUUGGCUUAGAAGCAGCCAUCAUUUAAAGAAAGCGUAAUAGCUCACUGGUCGAGUCGGCCUGCGCGGAAGAUGUAACGGGGCUAAACCAUGCACCGAAGCUGCGGCAGCGACGCUUAGGCGUUGUUGGGUAGGGGAGCGUUCUGUAAGCCGUUGAAGGUGGCCUGUGAGGGUUGCUGGAGGUAUCAGAAGUGCGAAUGCUGACAUAAGUAACGAUAAAGCGGGUGAAAAGCCCGCUCGCCGGAAGACCAAGGGUUCCUGUCCAACGUUAAUCGGGGCAGGGUGAGUCGACCCCUAAGGCGAGGCUGAAAAGCGUAGUCGAUGGGAAACAGGUUAAUAUUCCUGUACUUGGUGUUACUGCGAAGGGGGGACGGAGAAGGCUAGGCUAGCCGGGCGACGGUUGUCCCGGUUUAAGCGUGUAGGGGGUGUGACCUGGUAAAUCCGGUUGCAUAUCAACCCUGAGGCGUGAUGACGAUGCACUACGGUGCAGAAGUAGUUGAUGCCCUGCUUCCAGGAAAAGCCUCUAAGCUCUAGGUAACAUUGAAUCGUACCCCAAACCGACACAGGUGGUCAGGUAGAGAAUACCAAGGCGCUUGAGAGAACUCGGGUGAAGGAACUAGGCAAAAUGGUGCCGUAACUUCGGGAGAAGGCACGCUGGCAUGUAGGUGAAGUCCCUUGCGGAUGGAGCUGAAGCCAGUCGAAGAUACCAGCUGGCUGCAACUGUUUAAUAAAAACACAGCACUGUGCAAACACGAAAGUGGACGUAUACGGUGUGACGCCUGCCCGGUGCUGGAAGGUUAAUUGAUGGGGUCAGCCGCAAGGCGAAGCUCUUGAUCGAAGCCCCAGUAAACGGCGGCCGUAACUAUAACGGUCCUAAGGUAGCGAAAUUCCUUGUCGGGUAAGUUCCGACCUGCACGAAUGGCGUAAUGAUGGCCAGGCUGUCUCCACCCGAGACUCAGUGAAAUUGAACUCGCUGUGAAGAUGCAGUGUACCCGCGGCAAGACGGAAAGACCCCGUGAACCUUUACUAUAGCUUGACACUGAACAUUGAGCCUUGAUGUGUAGGAUAGGUGGGAGGCUUUGAAGCGUGGACGCCAGUCUGCGUGGAGCCAUCCUUGAAAUACCACCCUUUAAUGUUUGAUGUUCUAACUCGGCCCCAUAAUCUGGGGUGAGGACAGUGUCUGGUGGGUAGUUUGACUGGGGCGGUCUCCUCCCAAAGAGUAACGGAGGAGCACGAAGGUUAGCUAAUCACGGUCGGACAUCGUGAGGUUAGUGCAAAGGCAUAAGCUAGCUUGACUGCGAGAGUGACGGCUCGAGCAGGUACGAAAGUAGGUCUUAGUGAUCCGGUGGUUCUGAAUGGAAGGGCCAUCGCUCAACGGAUAAAAGGUACUCCGGGGAUAACAGGCUGAUACCGCCCAAGAGUUCAUAUCGACGGCGGUGUUUGGCACCUCGAUGUCGGCUCAUCACAUCCUGGGGCUGAAGUAGGUCCCAAGGGUAUGGCUGUUCGCCAUUUAAAGUGGUACGCGAGCUGGGUUUAGAACGUCGUGAGACAGUUCGGUCCCUAUCUGCCGUGGGCGUUGGAAGAUUGAGAGGGGUUGCUCCUAGUACGAGAGGACCGGAGUGAACGCACCACUGGUGUUCGGGUUGUCAUGCCAAUGGCAUUGCCCGGUAGCUAAGUGCGGAAAAGAUAAGCGCUGAAAGCAUCUAAGCGCGAAACUUGCCUCAAGAUGAGUCUUCCCUGGGCCUUUAAGGCCCCUGAAGGAACGUUUAAGACUAAGACGUUGAUAGGCUGGGUGUGUAAGUGCAGCGAUGCAUUGAGCUAACCAGUACUAAUGAUCCGUGAGGCUUAACCUUACAACACCGAAGGUGUUU